Molecule: ribosomal RNA, 253 nt
Filed under: uncultured bacterium
Lineage: Bacteria
Description: partial 16S ribosomal RNA
Rfam family: Bacterial small subunit ribosomal RNA
Source: RNAcentral
UACGGGGGGGGCAAGCGUUGUCCGGAUUUAUUGGGCGUAAAGAGCGUGUAGGCGGCCAGACAGGUCAGCUGUGAAAACUCGAGGCUCAACCUCGAGACGUCGGUUGAAACCGUCUGGCUAGAGUCCGGAAGAGGAGAGUGGAAUUCCCGGUGUAGCGGUGAAAUGCGCAGAUAUCGGGAAGAACACCCGUGGCGAAGGCGGCUCUCUGGGACGGUACUGACGCUGAGACGCGAAAGCGUGGGGAGCGAACAGG